CCUACGGGAGGCAGCAGUGAGGAAUAUUGGUCAAUGGCCGAGAGGCUGAACCAGCCAAGUCGCGUGAGGGCAGACGGUCCUAUGGAUUGUAAACCUCUUUUGUCGGGGAGCAAACGACGCCACGCGUGCCGUUCCGAGAGUACCCGAAGAAACAGCAUCGGCUAACUCCGUUCCAGCAGCCGCGGUACUACGGGGGAUUCGUGCUUUCUCCGGAUUUAUUGGGUUUAAGGGGUGCGCAGGCGGAAGAUCAAGUCAGUGGUAAAAUUUAGAGGCUCAACCUCUUCGAGCCGUUGAAACUGGUAGUCUUGAGGGAGCGAGAAGUAAGCGGAAUGCGUGGUGUAGCGGUGAAAUGCAUAGAUAUAACGCAGAACUCCGAUUGCGAAGGCAGCAUACCGGCGCUCAACUGACGCUCAUGCACGAAAGUGUGGGUAUCGAACAGGAUUAGAUACCCGAGUAGUC
RNAcentral lists this ribosomal RNA (459 nucleotides) under uncultured bacterium. Its description in RNAcentral is "partial 16S ribosomal RNA". It matches the Rfam family "Bacterial small subunit ribosomal RNA", at positions 338 to 795 of the family's 1533-position model. The record is from RNAcentral.